UAAACCCGAAAUCUCAUCUUUCAUUCUCAAAAACAAUACCCAAUACCCAAAAUCCCAUCUUAUUGUUGCUGAUGGUGUUCUUCGCCAGUUUCACUUUGAUAUCAAAAUUUUGGGAAAGCUGAAGGAAAUGUCGAGAAGAAUUGGGGGUCCGAGAAGAAUUGAUAAAUGUCAAAGAAUCACGGGCAUUGGUUUGAAGAAGCUGCGGCGCGAUUACGGGAUUCGGUUUGAGUACUGUGCUUGAUAAGGGUUCGGGUUCCUGCCUUGGGUCAUUGAAAGGGGUCACUCAGGUUGUCACAUAAAGUUGUAAGGUAUUAUAAAUAAGCAGCUUAGACACAGAGAUGCAUAUUAUG
Molecule: long non-coding RNA, 350 nt
Organism: Rosa chinensis
Lineage: Eukaryota; Viridiplantae; Streptophyta; Magnoliopsida; Rosales; Rosaceae
Exons: 4
Source: RefSeq, a predicted model, not a curated record